CAUAUUAAUAGUAUAUAAUGUCGAAUAUAUCCUAUUAAUAUUAGUACUUAAUAUGAAAAGUGUAGUAAAUGCUACCGCGGUCCCGCCACUGUGAAGGGGAGUCCAUUCAAUAUGUCACUGAGUUAUAUAACUUGGGAAGGCGAGUGUAACAAUGAACCGAAGCCAGGAGAACUGCCUUGACGAUAUUACCCAG
This 193-nucleotide non-coding RNA is filed under the name Veillonella montpellierensis. Lineage: Bacteria; Bacillati; Bacillota; Negativicutes; Veillonellales; Veillonellaceae. The record is from RNAcentral.